This is a long non-coding RNA of Pogoniulus pusillus (Red-fronted tinkerbird), 1978 nucleotides long. RefSeq lists it as uncharacterized. The transcript is spliced from 2 exons. The record is from RefSeq and is a predicted model, not a curated record. Lineage: Eukaryota; Metazoa; Chordata; Aves; Piciformes; Lybiidae.
UCGCCGCCCGCCUGCGCCGCCUGGGCGAUGAGCUGGAGCAGCGGGCAGCAAGGCGCAAGGCGCGGGGCCGCGGCCCCUCGGCCGGCCGGCGCCUGGCCGCCGUGGUGUGCCUGCUGUGCGCCCUCACGCCCGCGGCCGCGCUGGCCUGGCUGAUCCGCAGGAGGAGCCUCUAGGCGAGAGGGGCGAUGGCCGGAGCGGGGAGCAGGCGGGACGCGCAACAGGCUGGAGGAAAACCCUGUGCCCUUGGAGAAAAUUGUUUCCCCUUUUCCUCCAGGGAAUCCAGAGCCUGAGCAGCAGCCGUGGAGAGUGGAGAUAAAGAAAGAAGUGGAAGAUGUUGGAAGUGCUUUGGGCAACGUGAAGAAGGAUUUGCACGGCAGGAGCUGUUGAAGGGCCCAGCAGCAAACCAGAGACACAUACAUGCUUAUAUAUAGAAGAAUGUAAACCCUCCUGUAUGCAUACGUUAAACGUGCAUGCCUUGUCGAGAACGUGAGCCGCGUUCCUUGUAGAUGAUGGUGGUCUGAGCAGGCCUGCUCCUGCAGUCUGAGUCAAGAGUAGUGAUGUCCUUGCCGUAACGUUGGCGUUUGCUCCGCUGCAGCUGGCGGAUGGCAGCAGGGCAGCAGGAUGGAGCCAGCAGAUGCGCUGCCAGGCGGGCACGGCCUGGCCGCGGGGGCGGGGGCCGGGUGCUGGGCGGCUCGGACAGUUUGUGUGUGUAUAUAUUAACUACGGCACCAGGUGGCCAGAAGCUUCCCCUACGGCUUCUAGUUUCUCUGGUGCUCCAUUUAAUAGUUGUCUGGGGCUAAAGUUGCCUCGCUGUGGUGCUAUACAGGUUCCCCCAAGAGGAUGUUCUGAAACGUGGGGCAAGGAGAAAUCUAUUUUGGUUAAUAAUAUUUAUACACAAGAUACAAAAAGGAAUUCUUGCUGAGAAGGUGCUAUUUUUUUUUUCCUUUCUUCUUUUCAGUCUGUAUUAGUGAAGACAAAACAAAUAACCUAGCCCAGAACCUGACAAAACUCAGUUCUGUUUCUUUUGACAGUUUGGAUCUUGGGAAGCAGCAUUCAUUGGGAUGACAAAGACACUCCAGAUCUUGUCACUGCAGUGCCCCAGCUCUUCUCACUUCAGUGUCCAUCUCAGUCUGUGAGUGCAGAGCCUCCUCUGGCUCCAGGGCUGGGUGUUCUCACAGAUUGCAUUGGGUUGGGAGGGACCCUCAAAGGUCAUCUUGUCCAACCGCCCUGCAGUCAACAGGACACCUCCAGCUAGAGCAGGUUGGAUGGUGAGCGGAAGGAACACUCAGACCUUGUCAGCCGUGGAGGAGAACUGUAUCUAAACCAAUCCACAGACACAGGGAUAAUGAGAGCUUGUCCUUAGAAGUCCAAGGGCUCUUUUUAGUCUGGUUCUGAGCAGUUCCCUUCAGCCAGAGCUACCUGUCAGAUGCAGAGGACUUUCCAGAUGCUAUUUGCAGUCAUCAGUACGCACAGUUUUGUAGAAAGGUUUUUUCCAAGCUUCAGAUACUUGCACCAGAAAAUUGACCCUCUUGUGGCAAGAGGGAAUUUUCCAAGGAAUGUCAAGGACCCAAUUUCCAAAGGAAGUUUGGCUGCUUGGUUUUUAAACAUCUGUCCUAACCCUGGCCCAGCCGUGGAACAAGCCACGCGGGCUGUGUGUCCAUGUCACACCUUGCAGCUCUCUCUCUCCUGCAGGAGAAAUGAUUGUAAGCAGCCUCAAAGCUGAAUUCUGCCUUUUCCAAACAUUCACUGUUGUGUUUUGGGGCCCUGCACACAUAAUCAUGGAUAUUAUUGAUCCAAGUCAACUCACAAACAGCAGAAAAGGGCUGUGCUGAAGAGCAGCUUGUUCCUAAUGAGUAACCUUGCCCUACGUGAUGUUAUGUGCAGUGUGGGGAGGGAUCAUUAGCUCAGUGUAGUUUGUCUGUUGAUAGGGUUGGAAUGGUCUCAGAGCCACAGGGACCAAUAAAAUAUUUUCCUACCA